GACUGAGGUGUUUGUGGAAUGCACAUGCUUGGCCAUCAGAUCUGCCACCUCAAUUAAUGAGGGAGAUGUGAUGGCCCCUUGAUUUUUCAUAUUUUCUGAUUUUCUUUUAAUUGCACUUAUUUUAUUUAAUUCAUAAUAAAUCCAUUUUUAAUCCAAAAAAAUACGGGACUUUCACCAAAAAAAUUUAAAUAUUUUUCUCUUCCA
This 204-nucleotide long non-coding RNA is filed under the name Lathyrus oleraceus (garden pea). RNAcentral describes it as "Pisum sativum (pea) long non-coding RNA (PSAT_LNC005795)". The record is from RNAcentral. Lineage: Eukaryota; Viridiplantae; Streptophyta; Magnoliopsida; Fabales; Fabaceae.